Molecule: long non-coding RNA, 430 nt
Filed under: Androctonus crassicauda
Lineage: Eukaryota; Metazoa; Arthropoda; Arachnida; Scorpiones; Buthidae
Source: RNAcentral
GUUAAAAUGAAGCGAGUAGGUAGUUUUCUGGUGUGAACUCGAUUUCGAUCAAAUAGAACAUGGUAUGUGCAAAAUUUCUCCGUUUGCGGCCCCACCUACGUGUCUGGUGUUGCUUAAGCUUAACAUUCAACUAUUGCAUAGCAUUUGGCUGUCAGUUUGCAUUUGUCUUUUUUUUUCUAUCUUGUUAAGUUGGUUCAUUAUGGAUUUCAGCAAGAUAAUCGUUCCUGAGCUUAAGACAGAAUUAAAAAAUAUCUGGAAUAAAAACAGAGUUAACUGAAAGACUUUCUGCAUGACAAAAACACGAUCUUGUCCGCAGUCUAGUUGUGUCAAAACAUUUAGAGAGAGUCUCAUUCCUUUUGUUUCCAUCACCUGAUCAAUUUUCACCAAUAAAUGUAAUAUCAAGAAAACAUUUGAAUAAUUUCAACCUUUC